This is a non-coding RNA of Catharus ustulatus (Swainson's thrush), 536 nucleotides long. The record is from the annotation of a RefSeq genome assembly. Lineage: Eukaryota; Metazoa; Chordata; Aves; Passeriformes; Turdidae.
CGGGCGGCCGUGACCCUGCUGGAGUGCGGGGGGGACCUCCAGCCCCCCGGGGGGUCCCUGACUCUGCUCUGCCACGGGAAUGGAUUCGAUUUUGGAAGUUACGACAUGAUGUGGGCUCGUCAGAGCCCCGGGAAGGUGCUGGAAUGGCUCGCAGGGAUCGACAGCAGUGGCAGUAGCACCCGGUAUGCGCCGUCGGUCAAGGGCCGGUUCUCGAUCUCCAGGGACAACGGGCAGAACUCAGUGACACUGACCUUGAACAACCUCAAGGACGAGGAUUCCGCCGUUUAUUUCUGCGUCAGAGCUGCGUAUGGUUGGGCUGCUUAUAUUUAUGUUGGUGGUUUCGACAUCCAUCACUGCAUCCCCACCUGUCCCCAAAUGUCCCCAGACGCUUCCCCCAAAUCCCAACACCUGACCCCAACCUUGAACACUUACCCCGAUUUAACCCAAAGUUUUUAAGACCAAAGUUGGGAUCAAUGCCGAGUGUUGAGGUUUGGGGAGCAGAGAUCAAAGCUUUGGAGGAACGGCCAAGAGUUGGG